GCGGCCUAUCAGCUUGUUGGUGAGGUAAUGGCUCACCAAGGCGACGACGGGUAGCCGGCCUGAGAGGGCGACCGGCCACACUGGGACUGAGACACGGCCCAGACUCCUACGGGAGGCAGCAGUGGGGAAUAUUGGGCAAUGGAGGAAACUCUGACCCAGCGACGCCGCGUGAGGGAUGAAGGCCUUCGGGUUGUAAACCUCUUUCAGUAGGGAAGAAGCGAAAGUGACGGUACCUACAGAAGAAGCACCGGCUAACUAUGUGCCAGCAGCCGCGGUAAUACAUAGGGUGCAAGCGUUGUCCGGAAUUAUUGGGCGUAAAGAGCUCGUAGGUGGUUCGAUACGUCGGAUGUGAAAAUCAGGGGCUCAACCCCUGACCUGCAUCCGAUACGGUCGAGCUAGAGUUUGGUAGGGGAGACUGGAAUUCCU
RNAcentral lists this ribosomal RNA (426 nucleotides) under uncultured Actinomycetes bacterium. Its description in RNAcentral is "bacterial SSU rRNA". It matches the Rfam family "Bacterial small subunit ribosomal RNA", at positions 233 to 671 of the family's 1533-position model. Lineage: Bacteria; Bacillati; Actinomycetota; Actinomycetes. The record is from RNAcentral.